UAAGACGUAGGGGGCGAGCGUUGUCCGGAUUUAUUGGGCGUAAAGCGCGCGUAGGCGGUUCGGUAAGUCGGUGGUGAAAACCCGGGGCUCAACCCCGGGCCGUCCUCCGAUACUGUCGGACUGGAGGCAGGUAGGGGAGAGUGGAAUUCCCGGUGUAGCGGUGAAAUGCGCAGAUAUCGGGAGGAACACCGGUGGCGAAGGCGGCUCUCUGGACCUGUCCUGACGCUCAGGCGCGAAAGCUAGGGGAGCGAACAGGAUUAGAUACCCUGGUAGUCCUAGCCGUAAACGUUGGGUGCUAGGUGUGGGGCGGCGUUUGACCCGCUCUGUGCCGAAGCUAACGCAUUAAGCACCCCGCCUGGGGAGUACGGCCGCAAGGCUA
This 379-nucleotide ribosomal RNA is filed under the name uncultured bacterium. Its description in RNAcentral is "bacterial SSU rRNA". It matches the Rfam family "Bacterial small subunit ribosomal RNA", at positions 521 to 896 of the family's 1533-position model. The record is from RNAcentral.